GGAAAGAUUUUUCGGUCUGGGAUGGGCUCGCGGCCUAUCAGCUUGUUGGUGAGGUAAUGGCUCACCAAGGCGUCGACGGGUAGCCGGCCUGAGAGGGUGACCGGCCACACUGGGACUGAGACACGGCCCAGACUCCUACGGGAGGCAGCAGUGGGGAAUAUUGCACAAUGGGCGGAAGCCUGAUGCAGCAACGCCGCGUGAGGGAUGACGGCCUUCGGGUUGUAAACCUCUUUUAGCAGGGAAGAAGCGAGAGUGACGGUACCUGCAGAAAAAGCGCCGGCUAACUACGUGCCAGCAGCCGCGGUAAUACGUAGGGCGCAAGCGUUAUCCGGAAUUAUUGGGCGUAAAGAGCUCGUAGGCGGUUUGUCGCGUCUGCUGUGAAAUCCCGAGGCUCAACCUCGGGCCUGCAGUGGGUACGGGCAGACUAGAGUGCGGUAGGGGAGAUUGGAAUUCCUGGUGUAGCGGUGGAAUGCGCAGAUAUCAGGAGGAACACCGAUGGCGAAGGCAGAUCUCUGGGCCGUAACUGACGCUGAGGAGCGAAAGGGUGGGGAGCAAACAGGCUUAGAUACCCUGGUAGUCCACCCCGUAAACGUUGGGAACUAGUUGUGGGG
RNAcentral lists this ribosomal RNA (611 nucleotides) under Microbacterium sp. Its description in RNAcentral is "bacterial SSU rRNA". It matches the Rfam family "Bacterial small subunit ribosomal RNA", at positions 201 to 827 of the family's 1533-position model. Lineage: Bacteria; Bacillati; Actinomycetota; Actinomycetes; Micrococcales; Microbacteriaceae. The record is from RNAcentral.